UACGUAGGGUGCAGGCGUUAAUCGGAAUUACUGGGCGUAAAGCGUGCGCAGGCGGUUUGCUAAGACAGGUGUGAAAUCCCCGGGCUUAACCUGGGAACUGCGCUUGUAACUGGCAGGCUAGAGUGUGGCAGAGGGGGGUGGAAUUCCACGUGUAGCAGUGAAAUGCGUAGAGAUGUGGAGGAACACCGAUGGCGAAGGCAGCCCCCUGGGCUAACACUGACGCUCAUGCACGAAAGCGUGGGGAGCAAACAGG
This 253-nucleotide ribosomal RNA is filed under the name uncultured bacterium. RNAcentral describes it as "partial 16S ribosomal RNA". It matches the Rfam family "Bacterial small subunit ribosomal RNA", at positions 524 to 776 of the family's 1533-position model. The record is from RNAcentral.